GAUGAACGCUAGCGGGAGGCCUAACACAUGCAAGCCGAGCGGUAGAGUUUCUUCGGAAACUUGAGAGCGGCGCACGGGUGCGUAACACGUGUGCAACCUACCUUUAUCUGGGGGAUAGCCUUUCGAAAGGAAGAUUAAUACCCCAUAAUAUAAUGAUUGGCAUCAAUUAUUAUUGAAAACUCCGGUGGAUAGAGAUGGGCACGCGCAAGAUUAGAUAGUUGGUGAGGUAACGGCUCACCAAGUCAAUGAUCUUUAGGGGUCCUGAGAGGGAGAUCCCCCACACUGGUACUGAGACACGGACCAGACUCCUACGGGAGGCAGCAGUGAGGAAUAUUGGACAAUGGGUGAGAGCCUGAUCCAGCCAUCCCGCGUGAAGUAUGACGGCCCUAUGGAUUGUAAACUUCUUUUGUACAGGGAUAAACCUACCCUCGUGAGGGUAGCUGAAGGUACUGUACGAAUAAGCACCGGCUAACUCCGUG
RNAcentral lists this ribosomal RNA (479 nucleotides) under uncultured bacterium. Its description in RNAcentral is "partial 16S ribosomal RNA". It matches the Rfam family "Bacterial small subunit ribosomal RNA", at positions 28 to 507 of the family's 1533-position model. The record is from RNAcentral.